Molecule: transfer RNA, 85 nt
Filed under: Felis catus (domestic cat)
Lineage: Eukaryota; Metazoa; Chordata; Mammalia; Carnivora; Felidae
Also listed under: 2 other names
Rfam family: tRNA
About the family: Transfer RNA (tRNA) molecules are approximately 80 nucleotides in length. Their secondary structure includes four short double-helical elements and three loops (D, anti-codon, and T loops).
Source: Rfam by way of RNAcentral
GCCUGGGUGGCUCAGUCGGUUAAGUGUCUGACUUCAGCUCAGGUCAUGAUCUCACGAUUUGUGAGUUCAAGUCCCACAUCAGGCU